CGGGGUGCAGCAGGCGCGAAAACUUUACAAUGCGGGAAACCGUGAUAAGGGGACACCGAGUGCCAGCAUCAUAUGCUGGCUGUCCGGGUGUGUAAAAUACACCCGUUAGCAAGGGCCGGGCAAGACCGGUGCCAGCCGCCGCGGUAACACCGGCGGCCCGAGUGGUGAUCGUGAUUAUUGGGUCUAAAGGGUCCGUAGCCGGUUUGGUCAGUCCUCCGGGAAAUCUGACGGCUCAACCGUUAGGCUUUCGGGGGAUACUGCCAGGCUUGGAACCGGGAGAGGUAAGAGGUACUACAGGGGUAGGAGUGAAAUCUUGUAAUCCCUGUGAGACCACCUGUGGCGAAGGCGUCUUACCAGAACGGGUUCGACGGUGAGGGACGAAAGCUGGGGGCACGAACCGGAUUAGAUACCCGGGUAGUCCCAGCCGUAAACGAUGCUCGCUAGGUGUCAGGCAUGGCGCGACCGUGUCUGGUGCCGCAGGGAAGCCGUGAAGCGAGCCACCUGGGAAGUACGGCCGCAAGGCUGAAACUUAAAGGAAUUGGCGGGGGAGCACAAGGGCGAUUCGC
This 566-nucleotide ribosomal RNA is filed under the name uncultured archaeon. Its description in RNAcentral is "bacterial SSU rRNA". It matches the Rfam family "Archaeal small subunit ribosomal RNA", at positions 326 to 894 of the family's 1478-position model. The record is from RNAcentral.